GUGCAUGCCGGGUAGUUCAUUAAGGGGGUGUGGGGGAGGGCCAGGGCCUCGCUGAGCACGCCCCCACCCCCGCUCCAGCCUUAACACCACCUGGCACUUAGCGGCUCCCUCCCCACCCGCCCUGCCAGGCAUUUGGCAAUGAUCCAGAAUCCAGCCGCUCCCCAGCACCCCCACGGCAUCUACCCUGGUCUGAGCUGCCUCGUUUCUCGCCCGGAUCAUUGUAACAGCAUCCUAACUGGUCUCCCGCCCUCGCUCCCUUGACACACAGCCAGGGCGAUCCUCUUACAGUCUCUUUUCUUCCUGAGAGUUCAGAGGGCUGCACAUCCACGACCUCGUUCAUCCACGAGACCUCCCUCUGGGAUGGGGGGCAGGACCACCAUGCGCAGAUGUUCUGAAACUGCUCCGUCAUUGCCCUCCCCUCCACCGCCUUCCUUCUUCAGUCUCUAUUACGUCCCCUUUCUUCUCUCAAUUUAAUUCAGCAAAGGCUUAAGAGGCUCCUCCCUGGUACAAGGACUGGGCAUUCAGGAAGCUUCUAGAUUUCCCCAGGGCCAAAGUCAUUUCCUGUCUUCUAUGGUUUCAGAGCACUUUCUUCCUACCCGCGUUUAUACACACACAUACCGGAUUGUUUCUGUAUCUACAAUCCUGGAGGGUGGGGCUGGGUCUUACUUAAGCUUGCAUUCCCCCCCUAGUGCCUAGGCCAGGGCCUGGCAUUUGGGAGUCUGGAGAAACGCUUGCCCAGGGCAAAGGUACCCCUGACUGUGCCAGUUACCCGGAGGAAGAGCCCAGAGGGGUUCUGUAUACACAGCACCUGGCACAUAGGAGCUACUCAAUGUCUGCUAAAUGGAUCAAGAAAAAAACGAAGGAAGGAAGAUGAGGGCAGAUAGUGAUGGGCCAGCCUUGCCUUUAAAG
This 909-nucleotide long non-coding RNA is filed under the name Equus caballus (horse). RNAcentral's name for it is "lncRNA (ENSECAG00000051294.1)". Lineage: Eukaryota; Metazoa; Chordata; Mammalia; Perissodactyla; Equidae. The record is from RNAcentral.